Molecule: ribosomal RNA, 1495 nt
Filed under: uncultured marine bacterium
Lineage: Bacteria
Description: bacterial SSU rRNA
Rfam family: Bacterial small subunit ribosomal RNA
Source: RNAcentral
GAGUUUGAUCAUGGCUCAGAUUGAACGCUGGCGGUAGGCUUAACACAUGCAAGUCGUGCGAGAAAGUAUCUUCGGAUAUGAGUAGAGCGGCGGACGGGUGAGUAACGCGUAGGAAUCUACCUAGUAGAAGGGGAUAGCCCGGGGAAACCCGGAUUAAUACCGUAUACCUCCUUCGGGAGAAAGAAGGCCUCUCUUUGAAGCUUUCGCUAUUAGAUGAGCCUGCGUAAGAUUAGCUUGUUGGUGAGGUAAAGGCUCACCAAGGCGACGAUCUUUAGCUGGUCUGAGAGGACGAUCAGCCACAUUAGGACUGAGACACGGCCCAGACUCCUACGGGAGGCAGCAGUGGGGAAUAUUGGACAAUGGGCGCAAGCCUGAUCCAGCCAUACCGCGUGUGUGAAGAAGGCCUUCGGGUUGUAAAGCACUUUAAGCAGGGAGAAAAAGUUAUAAGUUAAUACCUUAUAACCCUGAUGUUACCUGCAGAAUAAGCACCGGCUAAUUCCGUGCCAGCAGCCGCGGUAAUACGGAAGGUGCAAGCGUUAAUCGGAAUUACUGGGCGUAAAGCGCGCGUAGGUGGUUUGUUAAGUUGGAUGUGAAAGCCCUGGGCUCAACCUAGGAACUGCAUCCAAAACUAACUCACUAGAGUACGAUAGAGGGAGGUAGAAUUCAUAGUGUAGCGGUGGAAUGCGUAGAUAUUAUGAAGAAUACCAGUGGCGAAGGCGGCCUCCUGGAUCUGUACUGACACUGAGGUGCGAAAGCGUGGGUAGCGAACAGGAUUAGAUACCCUGGUAGUCCACGCCGUAAACGAUGACAACUAGCUGUUGGGAGACUAUGUCUUUCAGUGGCGCAGCUAACGCUUUAAGUUGUCCGCCUGGGGAGUACGGCCGCAAGACUAAAACUCAAAUGAAUUGACGGGGACCCGCACAAGCGGUGGAGCAUGUGGUUUAAUUCGAUGCAACGCGAAAAACCUUACCAACUCUUGACAUACUUGGAGGCUCUUGUAAUGAGAGUGUGCCUUUCUGAACCAAGAUACAGGUGCUGCAUGGCUGUCGUCAGCUCGUGUCGUGAGAUGUUCCGUUAAGUCGGAUAACGAGCGCAACCCUUACCCUUAUUUGCCAGCGAUUCGGUCGGGAACUAUAAGGGGACUGCCGGUGAUAAACCGGAGGAAGGUGAGGACGACGUCAAGUCAUCAUGGCCCUUACGAGUAGGGCUACACACGUGCUACAAUGGGAGAUACAGACGGACGCUAAGCCGCGAGGUGGUGCUAAUCCUAAAAAGUCUUUCGUAGUCCGGAUUAGAGUCUGCAACUCGACUCCAUGAAGUCGGAAUCGCUAGUAAUCGCGGAUCAGCAUGCCGCGGUGAAUACGUUCUCGGGUCUUGUACACACCGCCCGUCACACCAUGGAAGUGGUUUGCACCAGAAGUAGAUAGUCUAACCUUAGGGAGGGCGUUUACCACGGUGUGCUUCAUGACUGGGGUGAAGUCGUAACAAGGUAACC